RNAcentral lists this long non-coding RNA (610 nucleotides) under Coffea arabica (coffee). RNAcentral describes it as "long non-coding RNA (CARA_LNC002407)". Lineage: Eukaryota; Viridiplantae; Streptophyta; Magnoliopsida; Gentianales; Rubiaceae. The record is from RNAcentral.
UAGGGUUGAGUAAAAUUCGAGCUCGGCCAUCUUGGACCUGCCAAACUGAGCUUGUGAAGGUUUGGCCCAAGCUAAUGUUCAGGGUAGAAAAGAAAGAGUUGCAGAGGCUAAACUGGCCUGAGAUUGAGUUAUCCAUUGACCAAGAUGGUCAAGACCAUCUUCUGCAGAUUAUAAAAGAUCUUUUGGACAGAAAUAUGUUGAAACCACAGAAGAAAUCUGAGUUCUUCACUGCUGUCCCGAGUUUUUCUCUUGAUUCAAGUGCAACUCAGUGUGCAGAAGUGUUACUUAGUCAAGAUACCGGUCUGGUGUUUGACCCAAAAAAAUCUAUCCAUCCUAAGGGAUUUUACCCUCCCCAUAAUGCUGCAGAAUUACAAUUCUCUUGAAUUGCCAAGCUUCUUCACGAGAAAGGUGCCCAGCCUGAUACCAAAUGUGGUGAUGCUCUUUGACCUUUUUGUACGGUUAGCUGAGAACCUUUGGACUUCGCUCUGCAUUCCCUGAGAAUAAUGAUCUGGUGGACCAAUAAGCAAACACUUCCCAAUGUUGAUUUUGCAACUCUUCCGAGAAAAAACAUCGUAAAGACAGUGGGGAUACUUUUGAAGCAUCAAUCCCU